RNAcentral lists this ribosomal RNA (255 nucleotides) under uncultured bacterium. RNAcentral's name for it is "partial 16S ribosomal RNA". It matches the Rfam family "Bacterial small subunit ribosomal RNA", at positions 524 to 777 of the family's 1533-position model. The record is from RNAcentral.
UACGUAGGGUGCGAGCGUUAAUCGGAAUUACUGGGCGUAAAGCGCACGUAGGCGGACUCUUAAGUCGGUGGUGAAAUCCUGGAGCUCAACUCCAGAACUGCCUUCGAUACUGGGAGUCUCGAGUCCGAGAGAGGUGAGUGGAACUGCGAGUGUAGAGGUGAAAUUCGUAGAUAUUCGCAAGAACACCAGUGGCGAAGGCGGCUCACUGGCUCGGUACUGACGCUGAGGUGGCGAAAGCGUGGGGAGCAAACAGGG